UGCGUAGGCGGGCUAAUAAGUCAGUGGUGAAAUCUUCCGGCUCAACCGGGAACUUGCCAUUGAUACUGUUAGUCUUGAGUUCGGUUGAGGUAGGCGGAAUGUGUAAUGUAGCGGUGAAAUGCUUAGAUAUUACACAGAACACCGAUUGCGUAGGCAGCUUACUAGACCGACACUGACGCUGAGGCACGAAAGCGUGGGGAGCGAACAGGAUUAGAUACCCUGGUAGUCC
Molecule: ribosomal RNA, 229 nt
Filed under: uncultured bacterium
Lineage: Bacteria
Description: partial 16S ribosomal RNA
Rfam family: Bacterial small subunit ribosomal RNA
Source: RNAcentral